Molecule: transfer RNA, 76 nt
Filed under: Acidithiobacillus ferrooxidans ATCC 23270
Lineage: Bacteria; Pseudomonadati; Pseudomonadota; Acidithiobacillia; Acidithiobacillales; Acidithiobacillaceae
Description: tRNA-Cys
Rfam family: tRNA
About the family: Transfer RNA (tRNA) molecules are approximately 80 nucleotides in length.
Source: RNAcentral
AGGCUGGGUGGCAGAAUGGUCAUGCAGCGGCCUGCAAAGCCGUGGAAGCCGGUUCGAUUCCGGCCCCAGCCUCCAA